GGAUGUUGGCUUAGAAGCAGCCAUCAUUUAAAGAAAGCGUAAUAGCUCACUGGUCGAGUCGGCCUGCGCGGAAGAUGUAACGGGGCUAAACCAUGCACCGAAGCUGCGGCAGCGACGCUUAUGCGUUGUUGGGUAGGGGAGCGUUCUGUAAGCCGUCGAAGGUGUGCUGUGAGGCAUGCUGGAGGUAUCAGAAGUGCGAAUGCUGACAUAAGUAACGAUAAAGCGGGUGAAAAGCCCGCU
RNAcentral lists this ribosomal RNA (240 nucleotides) under Pantoea agglomerans. RNAcentral describes it as "partial 23S ribosomal RNA". It matches the Rfam family "Bacterial large subunit ribosomal RNA", at positions 1096 to 1334 of the family's 2925-position model. The record is from RNAcentral. Lineage: Bacteria; Pseudomonadati; Pseudomonadota; Gammaproteobacteria; Enterobacterales; Erwiniaceae.